UAAGCAUAUCAAUAAGCGGAGGAAAAGAAACCAACAGGGAUUGCCCUAGUAACGGCGAGUGAAGCGGCAUCAGCUCAAAUUUGAAAUCUGGCUUCGGCCCGAGUUGUAAUUUGUAGAGGAAUGUUCGGCGAUGCUUCGGUCCAAGUCUCCUGGAACGGAGUGCCUUGGAGGGUGAGAGCCCCGUAUACGACCGGUCGGCAGAGCCAUGUGAACAUCCUUCGAAGAGUCGAGUUGUUUGGGAAUGCAGCUCAAAAUGGGUGGUAAAUUCCAUCUAAAGCUAAAUAUUGGCCAGAGACCGAUAGCGCACAAGUAGAGUGAUCGAAAGAUGAAAAGCACUUUGGAAAGAGAGUGAAACAGUACGUGAAAUUGUUGAAAGGGAAGCGCUUGCAAUCAGACUUGCUCGCAGACGUUCCGCCCGUCACUGACGGGUUCAUUCGUCUGCGAUCAGGCCAGCAUCGAUUUUGGCGGUCGGAUAAAGGUUGAGGGAAUGUGACUCCUCUGGGAGUGUUAUAGCCCUCUUCACAAUACGGCCAGCCGGGAUCGAGGACCGCGUUCGCUUGGAUGCUGGCGUAAUGGUUGUUAGCGGCCCGUCUUGAAACACGGACCAAGGAGUGAAACAUUCACGCGAGUGUUUGGGUGUCAAACCCGCACGCGCAAUGAAAGUGAACGGAGGUGGGAGCCCUUGGGCGCACCAUCGACCGAUCCGGACGUUUUCUGAAGGAUUUGAGUAAGAGCGUGACUGUUUCGACCCGAAAGAUGGUGAACUAUGCGUGAAUAGGGUGAAGCCAGAGGAAACUCUGGUGGAGGCUCGCAGCGGUUCUGACGUGCAAAUCGAUCGUCAAAUUUGCGUAUAGGGGCGAAAGACUUAUCGAACCAUCUAGUAGCUGGUUCCUGC
Molecule: ribosomal RNA, 895 nt
Filed under: Parazalerion indica
Lineage: Eukaryota; Fungi; Ascomycota; Dothideomycetes; Microthyriales
Description: LSU rRNA
Rfam family: Eukaryotic large subunit ribosomal RNA
Source: RNAcentral